CGGACGGGUGAGUAACGCGUGGAUAACUUGCCUCACACUGGGGGAUAACAGUUAGAAAUGGCUGCUAAUACCGCAUAAGCGCACAGUACCGCAUGGUACGGUGUGAAAAACCCAGGUGGUGUGAGAUGGAUCCGCGUCUGAUUAGCCAGUUGGCGGGGUAACGGCCCACCAAAGCGACGAUCAGUAGCCGACCUGAGAGGGUGACCGGCCACAUUGGGACUGAGACACGGCCCAA
RNAcentral lists this ribosomal RNA (235 nucleotides) under uncultured bacterium. RNAcentral describes it as "partial 16S ribosomal RNA". It matches the Rfam family "Bacterial small subunit ribosomal RNA", at positions 99 to 334 of the family's 1533-position model. The record is from RNAcentral.